UGCGGCCUGUUAUGUAUUUUAGCCGUGUUACUAGGAAGGAAGAGAGUGUGUAUCAUAGUUAAGAGCUCAAAACCUGGCGGUC
Non-coding RNA from Bombyx mori (domestic silkworm), 82 nucleotides. The record is from RefSeq and is marked provisional. NCBI's taxonomy places the organism in Eukaryota, Metazoa, Arthropoda, Insecta, Lepidoptera, Bombycidae.